Molecule: ribosomal RNA, 246 nt
Filed under: uncultured bacterium
Lineage: Bacteria
Description: partial 16S ribosomal RNA
Rfam family: Bacterial small subunit ribosomal RNA
Source: RNAcentral
GCAUGUCGUACGAACCGCUUCUGCGGUUAGUGGCAAAUGGGUGAGUAACACGUACUUAACUUACCCUCAAAUCUGGGAUAACUACGGGAAACUGUAGCUAAUACCGGAUACGAUGUAGUUUCGCAUGAAACUAUAUUGAAAGGUGGAGUAAUCCACCGAUUGAGGAUGGGAGUGCGCAAUAUUAGCUUGUUGGUAGGGUAAAAGCCUACCAAGGCGAUGAUAUUUAGCGGGGCUGAGACACGGCCC